AAUCAUAGAGGUUAAGAAAUCUGCCGAUAACGCUAUUUUAUAGAAAUGUGGGAGAGGAGGCAGUCCCACCUAUGUUU
Molecule: non-coding RNA, 77 nt
Filed under: Anaerococcus obesiensis ph10
Lineage: Bacteria; Bacillati; Bacillota; Tissierellia; Tissierellales; Peptoniphilaceae
Description: skipping-rope RNA
Rfam family: skipping-rope RNA
About the family: Firmicutes, Fusobacteria, AlphaProteobacteria, Spirochaetes. Downstream gene
Source: Rfam by way of RNAcentral